GUUUGCCUGUGUGUGGAUGGUGUUCAGCACCAAGGACAGGUAUGUUUGGCUGUGUGUGGAUGGUGUUCAGCACCAAGGACAGGUAUGUUUGCCU
Non-coding RNA from Branchiostoma floridae (Florida lancelet), 94 nucleotides. Lineage: Eukaryota; Metazoa; Chordata; Leptocardii; Amphioxiformes; Branchiostomatidae. The record is from Rfam.